CCUCCAGACUAGAGCCGAUCCAAGUUCUGUCAGCCUAAUGUAGAUCUUGGAUAAAUAAGGGUAAUAGGCUCAUUUUUAUAUUUGGAGAAAGUGAAACACUGAGAAGUUGGGGUCAGCUGUGGGACUCUCUUCAGGUCUUUGAAUUCCCAUGACCUUUCCUGGAACAGCUGUGAGUUUGGAGGAGGCAGCCCUGACCAAAGAAAUGAGAACCUGGAUCCAGGAACCCAUGGUCUGCAAACCACAGCUGCGGGCAGCCAAUCCGAGGACACCUUGUCAUCCAGCCUAAAGUAAGAACAGGUAGCUAACAUGAGUAAGCAACCCCCAGGGAAGUCUCCAGAGCCUGACUAAUUGUAGAAUUCCUCAGACCCCUAGAGGUAGAACUAACCAAUCAAUGUAAAAGGGCACGCGCCCCUCCCUAAAACUCCCCUAACUGACAAUUCGAGUCCACCAGGGGUCUCCAUUCCCAGAUGGGGAGACCCCUGCAUGCAGAAGAUUCAGCUAAAUAAACAAUCUU
Molecule: long non-coding RNA, 514 nt
Filed under: Mus musculus (house mouse)
Lineage: Eukaryota; Metazoa; Chordata; Mammalia; Rodentia; Muridae
Description: predicted gene, 49076
Source: RNAcentral